This 301-nucleotide ribosomal RNA is filed under the name uncultured bacterium. RNAcentral's name for it is "partial 16S ribosomal RNA". It matches the Rfam family "Bacterial small subunit ribosomal RNA", at positions 509 to 809 of the family's 1533-position model. The record is from RNAcentral.
CAGCAGCCGCGGUAAUACAGAGGGUGCAAGCGUUAAUCGGAAUUACUGGGCGUAAAGCGCGCGUAGGUGGUUUGUUAAGUUGGAUGUGAAAGCCCCGGGCUCAACCUGGGAACUGCAUCCAAAACUGGCAAGCUAGAGUACGGUAGAGGGUGGUGGAAUUUCCUGUGUAGCGGUAAAAUGCGUAGAUAUAGGAAGGAACACCAGUGGCGAAGGCGACCACCUGGACUGAUACUGACACUGAGGUGCGAAAGCGUGGGGAGCAAACAGGAUUAGAUACCCCAGUAGUCCCUGUCUCUUAUAA